Molecule: long non-coding RNA, 462 nt
Organism: Lolium rigidum
Lineage: Eukaryota; Viridiplantae; Streptophyta; Magnoliopsida; Poales; Poaceae
Exons: 4
Source: RefSeq, a predicted model, not a curated record
GCAAUUGAUGCAUAUAGUGGCUUCUUCUCCGCAUGUGGUAACAAGCAUUUCAAUUGGGGGAGGUGGGACGCUGAUCUCUGUUUACCUGGACGACCUCACCAUCCUGUCUUAUGCUUAGUUGAGCUGGGUAAGCCGUGCUAUUCCAAUCUCAAGGUGGUGAACAACAGCUAGCACCAUGUCGAGUUCAAGGUCAAGACGACAUCUCCAGGGUAGUAUUUCGACGGGCCAACCGUGAGCUUCGUCCAGCCAUGGGAUUCUUGCUUGAUAACAAUUAUAGUAGCCUAGAGGACACAAAUGCUAAAAAGGAAGAAAGCUCUCAUCACAUCAACAACAUGAUUAGAUUACAAUAUUGAUGUGUAAUAAGGGAAUGAUACAGAGGUAGUCACUAUAUCCAUUUUUACGCCGAUUUGUCUCUCUUUGAAAAUUCUGUACUGUUGAUGUGUAAGCGGAAGCUUUGUAAAA